Molecule: long non-coding RNA, 268 nt
Organism: Ceratina calcarata
Lineage: Eukaryota; Metazoa; Arthropoda; Insecta; Hymenoptera; Apidae
Exons: 2
Source: RefSeq, a predicted model, not a curated record
UCUACUUAUACGCGGAUACUUGACAAGGUUUUAUUCACUGGAUUUGUCGUUAUAAUGCAUCUUCCGUUUACGAAGACGGUACAGACGAACGAAUUAGGUGACAAUUUUUCGAGGAAGAUGUAACGUGAAUUUUUGGAAAGGACGUCGCUUCAACUACCGAUACCUUCUACAGUUUCCGUUCGACUCGAAAAAUUAUGCUACUCGUGCUGCAUAUGUACAUUGUUCCUUACAAUUUAUCUACAGAAUAAAAUUGUUUGGCAUUUUCCCA